RNAcentral lists this long non-coding RNA (315 nucleotides) under Nicotiana benthamiana. RNAcentral's name for it is "long non-coding RNA (NBEN_LNC034117)". Lineage: Eukaryota; Viridiplantae; Streptophyta; Magnoliopsida; Solanales; Solanaceae. The record is from RNAcentral.
UUAGAACUGAAAUUUUUAUUUGUAACUAGCGAAGUUCUAACUCUAGAAUCGAAGUUUUUAUUUGUAAACUGAACUUUGCAAGUGCAUGGCUGUAACUCUCUUUUUAUUCAGCGAACUAAGGUGUACCAGAAAACAGAAGAACUGAUACAGCUCAACGGUGUUAUCCAUGAGUGUGUGGAAGAUAAGAAAUGACUGGACAAGAAAAUAUACAGCACACUGACGAAGAAAACUAGUUACACUAAUAGAAUUUUUCUUGGCAAAAAGUUGAAGCUAUGACUUUCAGAUGAAAAUUGAUGAAACUCCACAACUACUAUA